UCACAUUGAAACACCAGUUUCUAUAUGUUCACCAAAGUUAAGCAACAUCAAGCCUAGUCAGUACCUAGAUGGUUGAACACUUGGGAAUACCAGGUGCUGUAAG
Non-coding RNA from Acanthosepion pharaonis, 103 nucleotides. NCBI's taxonomy places the organism in Eukaryota, Metazoa, Mollusca, Cephalopoda, Sepiida, Sepiidae. The record is from the annotation of a GenBank genome assembly.